GAAGGGCCGAUCGCAUCCUCUAAUUUUAUACCCGCCUGAACGGGGGAUAUGGAUUCAAAGCCCAACAUAGCUGCUACUGUGGACUCAGGACUCAUGAGCUAACUUCAUGAAUGCUUGAAGUACCCUACGCAACUCCAUGAGGGAUUGAGGGUUCCUACUUCCCAGUUCCCAGAACAUUUGGAUAAAAUAGUAGGUGGGUUCCUGGAAAUUCUUGCUCCGGACCAAAUUCAGUUGAAUUCUUAAACCGCACCACGAGAAUACGAAUAAUUACAUAUAUGUCCGAAAGGUUCAGUCCCUUCCUCCGAGCAUUCCAACCCUCCGGGCUAGACCGCAACGGCACAAUAGAUGUUGCACACUGCACAUCCUCAUUAAUUUAUUUUCCUUAAACAUUUUCGUGGAAAAUCUAGAAUGCUGGGAACUACAGGGCCAUGAGAUUUUCUCGAGAAAAUUAUGAGGGCUUCUUUCUGGGCGGGCGAUUCAAAUAAUGCAUCAACAUCCAGUGCUCCGCCACGCAUUCCUCAGGCAGUUUCGGGCCAGCCCAGUACCCGUCGCAGCAACAUCAUUCCACUGCUAGUGCGAAGAGAGGUUUCUCCUCGAGUGAGCCGUUCAUCAAAAAGGUUAUGGGGCAAAGCUUCUAAGUGCCAUGUGGCUUUUUAUGGGACCAAGUUUGAAUCACAAGGAGAUCCAAGAGUUGGUCUCAUCUCAUGGGUAGAGGCAGAGUCAUUGCAGCAUUUAUCUGCUGAAUAUUGCACUUUGCUGCCCUCUCCUAGGUCAACUAUAGCGGCAGCCUUUAGUCCUGAUGGAAAAACUCUUGCUUCUACACAUGGAGACCAUACAGUAAAGAUAAUUGAUUGCCAAACUGGGAGAUGCUUAAAGGUAUUGACUGGUCAUCGGAGGACACCCUGGGUGGCCAGGUUUCAUCCCUUGUAUCCAGAAAUACUUGCAAGUGGAAGUUUGGAUCAUGAAGUAUGCUUAUGGAAUGCCAAUACUGCGGAGUGUAUAGGAUCUCGUGAUUUUUACCGUCCAAUUGCUUCUAUUGCCUUUCAUGCGCAUGGGGAACUUCUUGCUGUAGCUUCAGGCCAUAAGCUGUACAUAUGGCACUAUAGUCGGAGAGAUGAGAUGUCACGUCCAACCAUUGUGCUGAAAACCCGACGUUCGCUUCGAGCUGUGCAUUUCCACCCAUAUGCUGCUCCAUUUCUUUUAACUGCCGAGGUCAAUGAUCUCGAUUCAUCUGAUUCCCCAAUGACAUUUGCAACUUCUUCAGGCUACUUGUGCUAUCCCCCUCCUACUGUAUAUGUGGCAGAUGCUCAUUCUACUAGUCGAUCUCGUUUGACAGAUGAACCACCGCUCAUCCCUCUACCUGUCUUAACCUGGCUUUCUAGUGCUGGAGAUGAUGGGAGAAUGAUUUCACAGCAUACAGAUAGGACCGUUGGUUCAAGUGAUGCACAACAGAGGGUGGAUACUUCUGCUUCAGUGCGUCUCCUGACAUAUUCUACUCCAUCGGGGCAAUAUGAACUGCUGUUGUCUCCUGUAGAACCUAGCAGCUCAUCUCCUGUACCAGAGGAAACUGGAUCUAGUUCUUUCUUGGGUGAAGUGGAGAAUGCACAUUCUCGGUCAGCUAUGGAUGCUAUGGAAGUGCAGCCUGAAGAAAGUAGUAAUCAGUUUUUUUCUUUUGGGGACCCAAUGCACUGGGAGCUACCUUUCUUGCAAGGGUGGUUAAUGGGCCGAAGCCAAGCGAACCAGCGCCCGACACAUCUGCUUGGCGGUGUUCAAGGCAAUUCAUUUGCAUUUAGUGAAGUGGAAUUUCCAGCUGUAAUAGGUUCCUCAGUAGCAUCAGCAACCGUUGGCCAACCCAGCAUUACAGGAAGGCGACAUCAUUCAUCGCACUCACGUAUAAUAUCCACAACUGUACCUCUUGAAGGUGCUAAUGUUGUACAGGAUGAAAAUGAUCCUCAAUCUGCUACGGGUAGAAAUCAUUCUGAAUUUGCCACAUCACUGGCAGCAGCGGCAGCUGCAGCUGCGGAGUUACCUUGUACAGUAAAGCUAAGAGUAUGGCAUCAUGAUGUAAAAAAUCCAUGUGCAUCUCUUGAUGAAGAAAGAUGUCGCUUAACCAUACCACAUGCUGUGCUUUGUAGUGAAAUGGGUGCCCAUUUUUCGCCUUGUGGGAGAUUUUUGGCAGCCUGUGUCACAUGUAUGCUGCCUCAUUUGGAAGCUGAUCCUGGAUUACACGGCAUGAUGCACCAUGAUACUGGGACUGCAACAUCCCCUACACGACACCCAAUUUCAGGUCACCAAGUCAUGUAUGAGCUUCGGAUAUAUUCCCUUGAAGAGGCAACAUUUGGCCUAGUGCUUGCAUCACGAGCUAUCAGAGCUGCUCAUUGUUUAACUUCAAUUCAGUUUUCACCCACAUCGGAACACUUAUUACUUGCCUAUGGUCGUCGCCAUGGUUCACUUCUUAAAAGUGUUCUCAUUGAUGGAGAGACAGCGGUGCCAAUUUACACAAUUCUGGAGGUCUACAGAGUUUCAGAUAUGGAACUUGUAAGAGUUCUUCCCAGUGCAGAGGAUGAGGUCAAUGUAGCUUGUUUUCACCCUUCAGUUGGUGGGGGCCUUGUCUAUGGAACAAAAGAAGGGAAGCUUAGAAUACUUCAGUAUGACAGUUCUCAUGGCAUUGCCCAUGUGUCAUCCUCUUAUCUUGAUGAGAACAGGGUACCAACAUAUGCUUUAGAAUGCUGAUAACUAGCUACUGCUCCCAGAAAAUGAGUCAAACAUCUUGGCGUGGAUGGUUUUGUGAAGGCUUCUUUGUGAUUUUUUUGGAGCCGUGGCAGCGUUUGCAUGUUUAGUUGUGAGGCUGUGGCAGUGCUAUAUCUGUUGUGUAGUUGCUGAUUUGUGAGUGCUAUGGCAGUGCUAUAUACAUCAAUCUGCCCCAAUUUUCUAGAGUCUUUCUGCAAGAGAUCAACUCCUGCGAGAAAUUGGUUUGAUUCCUGCGAAAUUGCAGAAAAGGAUGAGUCGAGUUAAAAGCAAGAUUUUGAAGGCACCUAGUAAGCAAGAAAUGCACCAUCCAUAUUGGGAUCCUUUGCAAGAAAUAGAAAGCUUCCAGUGAGAAAUUUGUGGGACCUGGGGAUAGACCUCUUGGAAUUGUAUGAACUUCAGUAUGUGCUUGUACACCCUUGAAAAUUAGUUUAAUGUUCCUAUGUAAUUUGUGAGCUUGUAAGUUUGUACUAGGUCCAUAUUUCUGUGCAUUUCUUCUUCUUGCUCUUCAUUUUCA
Molecule: RNA transcript, 3265 nt
Organism: Malania oleifera
Lineage: Eukaryota; Viridiplantae; Streptophyta; Magnoliopsida; Santalales; Ximeniaceae
Exons: 17
Source: RefSeq, a predicted model, not a curated record